This 460-nucleotide ribosomal RNA is filed under the name uncultured bacterium. RNAcentral's name for it is "partial 16S ribosomal RNA". It matches the Rfam family "Bacterial small subunit ribosomal RNA", at positions 338 to 795 of the family's 1533-position model. The record is from RNAcentral.
CCUACGGGAGGCAGCAGUGAGGAAUAUUGGUCAAUGGACGAGAGUCUGAACCAGCCAAGUAGCGUGAAGGAUGACUGCCCUAUGGGUUGUAAACUUCUUUUAUAUGGGAAUAAAAUGUUCCACGUGUGGGAUUUUGUAUGUACCAUAUGAAUAAGGAUCGGCGAACUCCGUGCCAGCAGCCGCGGUAAUACGGAGGAUCCGAGCGUUAUCCGGAUUUAUUGGGUUUAAAGGGAGCGUAGGUGGAUUGUUAAGUCAGUUGUGAAAGUUUGCCGCGCAACCGUAAAAUUGCAGUUGAAACUGGCAGUCUUGAGUACAGUAGAGGUGGGCGGAAUUCGUGGUGUAGCGGUGAAAUGCUUAGAUAUCACGAAGAACUCCGAUUGCGAAGGCAGUUCACUGGACUGCAACUGACACUGAGGCUCGAAAGUGUGGGUAUCAAACAGGAUUAGAUACCCGUGUAGUC